AAAGGCCGCAGUAUUUUGACUGUGCUAAGGUAGCAUAAUAAUUAGGUUUUUAAUUGAAAUCUUGUAUGAAUGGUUUAAUGAAAUAAAUUCUUUAUUAUUUUAAAUAUUGAAUUUUAUAUUUUAGUAAAAAAGCUAAAAUAAUAUAAAGGGACGAGAAGACCCUAUAGAAUUUUAUAUAAAAUUUUAUUAUUAUUUAAAUUUAUUAUAUAUUAAUAAAUUAAUAAUUUAUAUUUUAUUGGGGCGAUAAUAAAAUUUUUUUAACUUUUAUAAUGUUAUUCAAUUAUUUUUGUAUAGUUGAUCCAUUUUUUAUGAUUAAAAAAUUAAAUUACCUUAGGGAUAACAGCAUAAUAUUAUUAAAGAGUUCUUAUUUUUAAUAUUGUUUAUGACCUCGAUGUUGGAUUAAAUAAAAUUUUAAUAAGUAGAUUUAUUAAAAAUAAGUCUGUUCGACUUUUAAUUAUUUACAUGAUCUGAGUUCAAACCGGUGUGAGCCAGGUCGGUUUCUAUCU
RNAcentral lists this ribosomal RNA (506 nucleotides) under Dasineura miki. RNAcentral describes it as "partial large subunit ribosomal RNA". The stretch from base 336 to 495 matches the Rfam family "Bacterial large subunit ribosomal RNA", at positions 2473 to 2632 of the family's 2925-position model. The record is from RNAcentral. Lineage: Eukaryota; Metazoa; Arthropoda; Insecta; Diptera; Cecidomyiidae.